RNAcentral lists this ribosomal RNA (497 nucleotides) under uncultured bacterium. RNAcentral describes it as "partial 16S ribosomal RNA". It matches the Rfam family "Bacterial small subunit ribosomal RNA", at positions 28 to 507 of the family's 1533-position model. The record is from RNAcentral.
GACGAACGCUGGCGGCGUGCCUAAUACAUGCAAGUUGAGCGCUGAAGGUUGGUACUUGUACCGACUGGAUGAGCAGCGAACGGGUGAGUAACGCGUGGGGAAUCUGCCUUUGAGCGGGGGACAACAUUUGGAAACGAAUGCUAAUACCGCAUAAAAACUUUAAACACAAGUUUUAAGUUUGAAAGAUGCAAUUGCAUCACUCAAAGAUGAUCCCGCGUUGUAUUAGCUAGUUGGUGAGGUAAAGGCUCACCAAGGCGAUGAUACAUAGCCGACCUGAGAGGGUGAUCGGCCACAUUGGGACUGAGACACGGCCCAAACUCCUACGGGAGGCAGCAGUAGGGAAUCUUCGGCAAUGGACGAAAGUCUGACCGAGCAACGCCGCGUGAGUGAAGAAGGUUGUCGGAUCGUAAAACUCUGUUGGUAGAGAAGAACGUUGGUGAGAGUGGAAAGCUCAUCAAGUGACGGUAACUACCCAGAGAGGGACGGCUAACUAUGUG